Molecule: non-coding RNA, 372 nt
Organism: Schizosaccharomyces pombe (fission yeast)
Lineage: Eukaryota; Fungi; Ascomycota; Schizosaccharomycetes; Schizosaccharomycetales; Schizosaccharomycetaceae
Source: the annotation of a GenBank genome assembly
CAGAUAGGGCCUUUUGCAAUAUGUAAACUUCAAUGGUGCGAGUACAUUUUUGCUAUACAAAUCUCUAUUGUAUUCUCUCGUACAAUCGUUAGCAUCUGAAUUUUUAAACUUGUUGUACAAAUAUUCAAUAUGUUCAGUUGCAUGGGAUCGACAUUGAGUUUACUAUCUUAUGUGAUCUGAUAAAUUAAGCUGUCGUUACUGAAAGAGCUUACUACCUGGAAAGUCAUAAACAAUGCGCCAUUUAAUACUCUCACCAUAAGCGUGUUUGAUCAAAGCACUCGGCAAUCUAAUGGAACUCAGCGUUGUUGCUUUAACUUAGGAUUCGGCUGUUGGAUCUAAAUUGUCUCGAAGGAAUUACUAAAAGUUCAAUAA